ACUCAAAUGAAUUGACGGGGACCCGCACAAGCGGUGGAGCAUGUGGUUUAAUUCGACGAUAAACGAGGAACCUUACCUGGGCUCAACUACUAGCUGCAUAUCGCCAGAAAUGGCUUUAGCCUUCGAGGGUGCUAGAUAGGUGCUGCAUGGUUGCCGUCAGCUCGUGCCGUGAGGUGUACCGUUAAGUCGGGAAACGAGCGCAACCCACGUCGUGUGUUAAAUUUACACGCGAGACUGCCCGCGCAAGCGGGAGGAAGGAGUGGACGACGUCAAAUCAGCAUGGCUCUUACGUCCAGGGCCACACACAUGCUACAAUGGCCGGUACAACGGGUUGCUAAACCGCGAGGUGGAGCUAAUCCCAUCAACACCGGUCUCAGUUCAGAUUGAAGGCUGCAACUCGCCUUCAUGAAGUUGGAAUCGCUAGUAAACGCGUAUCAGCCACGGCGCGUUGAAUACGUUCUCGGGUCUUGUACACACCGCCCGU
RNAcentral lists this ribosomal RNA (484 nucleotides) under uncultured bacterium. RNAcentral describes it as "partial 16S ribosomal RNA". It matches the Rfam family "Bacterial small subunit ribosomal RNA", at positions 899 to 1397 of the family's 1533-position model. The record is from RNAcentral.